CUGCUGUCGAAACCCUAAGCAUCUUCAUUCAACCCUUUUCUGGCGAACCCCUCUCCAUAAAUUAUUAAGUGGAGAGGAGGUGGAGGAAGGUGAUGAGUUUGUUCACCGGAACACGCACCAGUGACGGGGACUCACCGAACCUUGUUUGCUAGCUUGACUGCAUCUAGGGCAUGGUCGACGCUCUCUCUUUUGUCUGGUGGAAGUGUCAUCAGGUUCAUGUCUCCCUUCACCUCUUUCCUCUGCUUACUCAUUAGGGUUUCAUCUUACCUGCUUCCUCAUGGAGAUGUUGUGGUUGAGAUCUCCGAACAUGAACUCAUCAUCAUUGUGGAGGAGUUUGGGUGCCUUCUGACCAGGGUGUACUUAAAACAUGAGUUGUUUCCUGCAUACUAGUAUGCAACGAAAGGAUAACCAAGGUUUGACGUGAUCUUAGGGCUCUUUGUCAAUUGCCUCAACAUCUUUUCCACUCUUGGACAUUCCCCUGCCAUCGAAAUCAGUUACCAUGGUCUGGACAUGCAACUAUUUUUAAAAUAAGCUUCUUCUUUCUGUUGAUUGUGUCUGUAAAGCUAAACUCCAUUGCUGCAGAGGUUAGAUUAUGAAGAUGACAUACAAGAUUCAUUAUCAGAUAAGCAAAUAUUGACACCAGAUAUCAAAGAAAAGGCAAAGGUGAUAGCCAAGGAAUGGAAGCUAAAAUUGGAUCACCUGGACAUUGAAGCCAGCAGUGGAAACUCAUUGGAAGAAGCACAUGCAUUUCUUCAGCUUUUGCCUACUUUUGAUAUUAUCUCAGAAUUUGAGCAAGAUAAAAUCUGCAAACUAAUGCCAGCUGUUACACGACGCCGUCAAACUGUCAACUUGUGUCGUUCACUUGGUUUGUCACAUAAGAUGCUAGGUUUGAUUGAACUUCUUCAGAAUAGUGGGAGGCAAAUUGAGGUUGUUAAUCUUGCAUAUGCAUUUGAGCUUACAGAACAAUUCGCUCCAGUGCCAUUGUUGAAAGAGUAUCUAAAGGAGGCAAGAAGAAUAUCCCAGGUCAAAGCUGGAAGCAUGUCACCUGGAGCACAGGUCUU
Molecule: long non-coding RNA, 1061 nt
Organism: Zingiber officinale
Lineage: Eukaryota; Viridiplantae; Streptophyta; Magnoliopsida; Zingiberales; Zingiberaceae
Exons: 4
Source: RefSeq, a predicted model, not a curated record